CCCAACCCCCACCGCACCCCGGCCUUCGUCGCCGUCAGGGCGGGUGGACCGUGGCGGGACGAGGGAGAAGGAGCAGGUCCUUGGUUUAACUGUUGCAGUCUGUCGGGAAGGCAUCUUCUUCCCGCGGAAAUUUGCCGUAGGCGGGACCGCGCCUGCUUUGCUCACCACCAUUUCUAAAAGGGUUUGUUGAAGGACAGGAAGAAGGCGCUGGAGAGAGAGCAACGGGAAAAGAGUGAAAAGGGAGGGAAAGGGAUAGACUGAUUUCUGACGGGCCUUUUAGCAUGGAAUAUUUUUUGGAGGUCUUGGAAAUCCCUGGGCCUCACCGCCUUUGUAAACUGAGCGCUGAUUUCCAGAGUCCCUUCCCGCUCUGGUGUUCCUCGAUUCUUUUGCCUGGACCCACUUGCGGCGGCGAAGUUAGCAUCCAGUUGGAACCGAUUCAAGCUUCUGUGACUUUGAGGAAGUAG
RNAcentral lists this long non-coding RNA (464 nucleotides) under Ursus maritimus (polar bear). RNAcentral's name for it is "lncRNA (ENSUMAG00000007840.1)". The record is from RNAcentral. Lineage: Eukaryota; Metazoa; Chordata; Mammalia; Carnivora; Ursidae.